UACGUAGGGUGCAAGCGUUGUCCGGAAUUAUUGGGCGUAAAGAGCUCGUAGGCGGUCUGUCGCGUCUGCUGUGAAAACUCGGGGCUUAACCCCGGGCCUGCAGUGGGUACGGGCAGACUAGAGUGCGGUAGGGGAGACUGGAAUUCCUGGUGUAGCGGUGAAAUGCGCAGAUAUCAGGAGGAACACCGGUGGGCGAAGGCGGGUCUCUGGGCCGUAACU
RNAcentral lists this ribosomal RNA (219 nucleotides) under uncultured bacterium. Its description in RNAcentral is "partial 16S ribosomal RNA". It matches the Rfam family "Bacterial small subunit ribosomal RNA", at positions 524 to 741 of the family's 1533-position model. The record is from RNAcentral.